UUACCCUAAUUAGGGAUAAUGAAACAUUAGAAAUUUUAGCCCUCUGCCUAACAAAAUUGAGUUCUUCAGAAUCAAGACAAAGAUUUUUCGAUCUCAGCCCGUGUCCUUCGAAAUCAUUCAUUUUUAAAUCCGAUCCUUUCUUUAUUCACAAUAUCUUCUACUGAAGUGUGAGCCUCCUCUAUCCAGUAUCUCGGCCAUACAUGACUUCUUCCUUCUUUUUGCUAACACGUGUGUUGCAGUAUUGGCCGAUCUAGCAGUUACCCCUUUAAUUACCGCCAACGCGUCACCUUCCACGCAGAUUUCUCUUAAGCCUAACUCCUCCCCAAAAGUGACCGCAUGCAAGCAUGCCCAGGAUUCUGCCAAUUUCGGUGUUGAGAUGUUUGAGAACGGGUAAAUGCAUGCAAUUAUAAUCAGUCCAUUUUUAUUUCUGGCAAUUAUAACUACCUUAGAAAUGUUAAGAUCCUGUUGAAAAGAGGCAUCAAAAUUAAUUUUGAUCAUAUCCCCAUUAGGUGGUUCCCAUUUAACAUUUUUAGGCACUGUUCUUGACAUUACAACACCUUCGAUUAACUUGUUCUCCGGUAAGUAUGCUUCAAUAAAGGAAAUCACCUAUUGUUCAUUUGGGGUUUGUCUCUUGUGAUAUAUUCUGUUUCUGUUGAACCAUAGUGCCCAGAAAGAUAUCAUAAGAGUUUUACAUUUUUUGCUUUCAUUUUCGUAGAAGAAAUCCACUAACCAAUUUUGUCAUUCUUGAUUUCUAUCUGAGGUUGAAUCUUCGACUCUCAGAUCUUGCAGGAUCUUUUUUUUGUGAAUUCGCAAUCUUGGAACAGAUGUGUCACGGUUUCCUCAUCUUCCUUGCAAACUGGGCAACGAGCUUUUCUCACCAAGCCUUUAUUUUUGAAGUUGUAAAGCGUAGGCAAAAGCCCCUUCGAAAGUUUCCACAUGUGUAUCCGGAUUUUAGUUACUACUUUAAUCUUCCACAUCUUUGUAAAGAAUGUAUGCAUUCUAGAAUUUUGUAAAGCGGCGUUGUCUUUUGUAUUGUGUAAAUUCUCUAAAAUAAGCCAUCUGUAGCCGCUUUUGACUGUGUAAUUUCUUGAUUUAUCACCCCGCCAUACCAAGAUAUCUGGUUGGUUUUGACACACCAGUGGAAUCACAAGGAUCCGUUUUAUUGUCUCUUCAUUGAACAGAAUUCUAAGGGAUUCUAUAUUCCAGGUCAUGACAGCCAAUUAUCAUUCCAUAUGUUAAUAAAGGCACCAUUCCCCACCUUCCAUCCCAAUCCUUGUUCCAAUAAGGAGCGGGCAUUCCAGAUACUACGCCAGGUAAACGAUGGGUAAGAUCCCAGUCUUGCACUCAAAAAAUCACCUAUAGGAUAAUAUUUAGCUUUCAUAACAUGUGCAAGCAAACUAGUUGGGUUCGUAAUUAGAUUCCAUCCUUGUUUGGCUAACAAGGCAACAUUAAACUUUGAUAAGCCCCAAAACCCCAUCUCCCCUUACGAUUUCGUGUUACACAUGGCUGACCAGCUGCACCAAUGAAUGCUUUUAUUUGUAACUGUAUUACGCCACUAGAAUCUGUUAAACACAUUUUCUAACUCCCUGCAAAAAGAAUUGGCAACAUAAAAUAUUGCAUUGCGUAAACUGGGACUGCCUGCAACACCGAUUUUAUCAACACUUCUUUAUCGCCAAUAGAUAAAAACCUCACGCUCCAAUUUUUUAAUUUCCUAAUAAUUCUUUCUUUGAUUUCGUCAAAAGCAUAUCUUUUGCGGCUCCCCACCAUUGUUGGUAAUCCAAAAUAUUUCUCGGGAUUAUUUGCAAUUCGAACGCCAAAGACUCUCUUGACUCUCUCCCUGUUGUUAAAACUUGUAUUUUUGCUGAAGUAAAUUAACAAUUUAUCAAAAUUAACAACUUGGCUUGAUACAUUUUCAUAAUCUUUUACCACGACUUUAUCGCUUUUGCCCCUUCCUCUGUCGCCUCUCCAAAUAGUAUGUUAUCAUCUGCAAAGAAUAAAUAUGUGAUUGCCAAACUACUUCCUAUCUUGGCUCCUUUAAUAAAACAAGCACUUUUCGCCGUUGUGAUCAAAUUGGAAAAACUUGCACACAUAUAAUAAAUAAACAGGGGCUUAGGGGAUUAAUAAAUGAAUAGGGGCUUAGGGGAUUCCCGUCUUAGGCUGCGUUCUUCAUUGCUUAACAAACGUACUUUUCCUUGAAAAAGUGCUUUUCUUUGAAAAACAAUGAAGAACGACCUUCGUUUGGUAACAAAUUCUCAAAAGCUGAGAAGUGCUUUUGGGCGGACGGAGAAGUAAAAAUUUUUAGCUUUUCAGCCAAGAGGUGCUUUUGGCUGGUUCAUUUACUUUUUUAGCCACACACGGACGCCCUUAUCUGCUCUCUGCUCUCUGCUGCUUCUUUGCCCUCAUCUCUGCCCUCUGCUGGUUCUUUGUUCUGCCCUUUGCUGGUUCUUUGUUUCUCUGCCCUCUGCGGGUGAGUUUAUUUUUUUCUUCUCUUCUUCUCUUCUUCUGUAUAUUUUUGUUUGUCUGGGAUUGAUUUUCAAUUUCCCUGCCCUCUGCCCUUUGCUGGUUCUUUGGCCUUGGAGCUGCACCAAACAGUAAAUGUUGUUGUGGAGAUUGUGAAAGAACAUUACUUGGUUAUUGCAAUUCCUGAGUAUAACCAUGCCAUAGGGUAUGCAUCAAUAGUAGAUUACAAUACACAAAAGCUUCCCCAUAAACAAUUUGUGAAUGGGCAGAGGUGAGGUUGAUUUUAGUGACCAAUCCUUUUUUGCUUAUUUUUCGCUUAUUUGUAUAUGUAAAUUGGCUGCAGUAAUCUUUACAACGUUGUAAUUGGUGUUUGGAGUUAAUAUCCUCCAUUGUUUAAUUGCUUCAAUAGCAGCUCCAUUUUUGUCUUAUGGAUAAGGUGUCAUUUUCAUUUUUGUUUGGUUUCUUUUCAAGUCCUGUAGUGUUCUUGAAUGCUUGUUGUGGAUGUGUUACUAAUGCCUAUCAAGCUUAAAUACACUCGAAAUGAUUGAUGCAGGGUUAUUGCA
Gossypium raimondii (Peruvian cotton) is the source of this 3023-nucleotide long non-coding RNA. RefSeq lists it as uncharacterized. The record is from RefSeq and is a predicted model, not a curated record. Lineage: Eukaryota; Viridiplantae; Streptophyta; Magnoliopsida; Malvales; Malvaceae. The transcript is spliced from 4 exons.